Molecule: ribosomal RNA, 497 nt
Filed under: uncultured bacterium
Lineage: Bacteria
Description: partial 16S ribosomal RNA
Rfam family: Bacterial small subunit ribosomal RNA
Source: RNAcentral
GAUGAACGCUGGCGGCGUGCCUAAUACAUGCAAGUCGAGCGAACAGACGAGGAGCUUGCUCCUCUGACGUUAGCGGCGGACGGGUGAGUAACACGUGGAUAACCUACCUAUAAGACUGGGAUAACUUCGGGAAACCGGAGCUAAUACCGGAUAACAUGUUGAACCGCAUGGUUCAACAGUGAAAGACGGUUUUGCUGUCACUUAUAGAUGGAUCCGCGCCGCAUUAGCUAGUUGGUAAGGUAACGGCUUACCAAGGCAACGAUGCGUAGCCGACCUGAGAGGGUGAUCGGCCACACUGGAACUGAGACACGGUCCAGACUCCUACGGGAGGCAGCAGUAGGGAAUCUUCCGCAAUGGGCGAAAGCCUGACGGAGCAAAGCCGCGUGAGUGAAGAAGGUCUUCGGAUCGUAAAACUCUGUUAUUAGGGAAGAACAAAUGUGUAAGUAACUAUGCACGUCUUGACGGUACCUAAUCAGAAAGCCACGGCUAACUACGUG